This 206-nucleotide microRNA precursor is filed under the name Oryza brachyantha (malo sina). Its description in RNAcentral is "MIR812 microRNA precursor family". It matches the Rfam family "MIR812 microRNA precursor family". The record is from Rfam by way of RNAcentral. Lineage: Eukaryota; Viridiplantae; Streptophyta; Magnoliopsida; Poales; Poaceae.
AACAAAUCAACUUUUCGGUUUUUAGAUAUAAUGUUCAACUCUUCGUCUUAUUUAAAAAACUUUUAUGAUUAAUAAUUUUAUUUUUAUUAUAUGAUAAAACAUUAAUAGUAUUUUAUGUGUGACUAAUUUUUAAAAAAAAUUUAAAAAUUUUUCAAAUAAAACGGAUGAUAAAACGCUCGACACAAAAACUGAAGAGUUGAUUUUUU